Molecule: long non-coding RNA, 3552 nt
Organism: Zeugodacus cucurbitae (melon fly)
Lineage: Eukaryota; Metazoa; Arthropoda; Insecta; Diptera; Tephritidae
Exons: 3
Source: RefSeq, a predicted model, not a curated record
UUGUAAUGUGGGUUUGUAAAUGUUGCUUGCUUGCUUUUUGCAUGCUUUUUGUAACUCGAAUUUUACUUGGCUACAUAAUAUGUAACUUGAUUGAAUAAUUAAUAGGCAAUAUUUGUAAUUAAGCUUAGUAAAUAAAAAAAAUAUAAGACAAAUAACGGUUGGAGUUAAUACAUACACCUUCACUGUACAAGGAGGUUGUGGAAUCUGAUAGUUGUCGGAAUCAGAACUCAAACCAAUAAAAACUUCUGCUAUCUGAUGUAACAAAUCCCUGAUAUUUUUGGUUUGAUGUGCGAAAUUAGAAAUUCUAUUGGUUUGCGGUGACAUAGACACCAAUUUUAUCAGUUUUACUAUUAGAAACAAACCAAGCGACUAAUGGCUGACAGAUCUGAAAUACCACGUUUAAAUUGAAUUCGAUUUGCCUUUAAAACACUUUGAAAUUAAAAUAAAAUGAUAAAACAUUAAAUACAAACGCUAAAUGAUAUUAUUAUUGAAUUGAACACAAAUUAUUGAAUAUGUACAAUUAAAUAUGUACAUUUUUACAUAAAUGGACCAGUAUGAUGUGAGCGUUAAGAUACAAAUGUUUUGGUAGCGAACAUUUGUUGUGAACGAGCCUUAAUUUAAAUUUUUAUUUUGUGGUUGGCAUGACAUCUAUCAAACAUAUUCAAUAACACUACAGCCAUUGAAUAAACAUCAUAUUUUUUCAUUGUAUUGAAAAUGUCAAAUUUUGUACCGGAAGAUGAUGAUUUUUUAUUUUUAUCAAUUGGCUGUAAUUUUGUGUUUAAUAUUUAUAAAAUUCAAUGAAAUUGGAUAAAUAGUGGCACAGAUGCUGUCAAUUAUGGUGCUGCUUAUAUUUGAAAUGUUGAAAAUCCAAUCAGCUGCUGUGACACCAUUGAAAAUCAACAUUAGUUUGUCAUACUGCCAAUUAAAUAGAUCUCAACAACCCUGAUUAUCGCCGAUUAAGCAUAAAAGCUCAGUAGUAGUAGUACAAUAAGCUAUAAUAUACUAUGUAUUUACAACUUGUGCUAUGUUUUUAAUUUGUUUUAAGUCUUGAAACAAUAUUUAAAAAAACAAGUAAGGAAAGGCUAAGUUCGGGUGCAACCGAAAAUUUUAUACUCUCGCAAUUUGUUGCUAUAUUUUUAUUAUGAAAACAUACAAUUUGACCCAUAUAUUCGGCAUAAAUAUAUUUCACUUAUUAACCGAUUUAUAAGCUACUAAGCUCAUCGUAUUAUUGAAAAUAAUUAGGUAUUCUCAUAUAUUCAUAUAUAAGGGAAGUUAUGACCCGAUUUUAACCUUUUCUGGUACAGACACACACUAUUAGAAGACAAAUAUUUCCUCUGAAUUAAAUUAAGAUACCUGAGAGAUUGACCGAAAUUUUCGGUGAAAAAUUACCAUGGGGCACUCAGUUCUUCAUAUUCGAUACCCGGGGCAUUGAAAAGUUAUAGUCUGAUUUGGACAAUUUUUUCACAAGUGAUGCCACAUAUCAUAUACAGUAUUUGUGUAAAGUUUUAUUUCGCUAUCUUCAUUGGUGCCUUAUGUAUAUAUUAUAAAGUGAAGGAAUAAGAUGAAAUUCAAAAUUGAGCUAUAUGGGAAGUAGGCGUAGUUGUGAACCGAUUUCGCCCACCAGUGUCAUCAGGGUGUCAAGAAAAUAUUAUAUACCGAAUUUCAUUGAAAUCUGUCGAGUAAUUCUUGAGAUAUGGUUUUUGACCCAUAAGUGGGCGACGCCACGCCCAUUUUCCAUUUUGUAAAAAAAUCUCAGUGCAGCUUCCUUCUGCCAUUUCUUAUGUAAAAUUUGGUGUUUCUGACGUUUCUCGUUAGUGAGUUAACGCAAUUUUAGUCAUUUUCAACCUAACCUUUGUAUGAGAGGUGGGCGUAUAAGGAAAGGGGUAAAAGAAACGACUGCAAAAAGUUUGGUUUAUAUAGCUUUAUUGGUUUGCAAGAUAUAUACAAAAAAAACCUAUUUGGGGGCGAGGUCAUGCCCACUUUUCCAAGAGAAAUACAUUCAAAUGUGCCCCUCCCAAAUGUGAUCCUAUGUUCCAAAUUUUAUUUUCAUAACUUUAUUUAUGGCUUAGUUAUAGCUCUUUAUGUGUUUUUGGUUGUCGUAAUUUUGUGGCAGUGGUCCGAUUCCGCCCAUCUUCGAACUUAACCUUCUUAUGGUGCCAAGGAACACGUGUUCCAAGUUUAAUUAAGAUAUCUCAAUUUUUACUCAAGUUACAGCUUGCACGGACGGACAGACGGACGGACAGACAGACAUCCGGAUUUGAACUUGACUCGUCACCCUGAUCACUUUGGUAUAUAUAACCCUAUAUCUAACUCGUUUAGUUUUAGGACUUACAAACAACCGUUAUGUGGACAAAACUAUAAUACUCUCCUGGCAAAUUUUGUUGCGAGAGUAUCAAAAAACUUUAGUUUAUUUUAAAAUAGCUAAUGCAAUAUAUUUCUCCAGCAUUCUGUAUGGUAUGGUAUGGUAUAUACAAAUGUUAAAACAUAAGUGCUGAACACAAAGACGACGACACGACACGACGUAGCGACGGCUGACCACAAAUGUCGCUUCGAAGCCAGCGUCUUGAACAUUUUGAAGACGGCUGCGACAUAUCAAACAGCAAUUUCAUUGUUGCCGUACUUUCACUUCAAUAAAAUUUACAUAUUUAGUUUAAAGUGAAAUUAUUUACGCAAAAAAUGUAAAAAUUGGCGAUUUAUUUGUUUUAAAUAAUCGAUUGUUAUUAUAAAUGAUAUAUCAAAGCUAUUUUACGUUUCUGCUGGCAAAAGAACGUCAUAGUUGUGAGAACUUUGAAUAAUUUUACAUUUCACAAGUUAGUGGCAGCUCUACAGCGGCCAUUGUCGUCGGCAAAAUUAGAAACAUUUCUAAGUUGGUGACAACGACAACUACAAGCCUAUUGUCGCGUAGUCGUGCUGUUGUCAAAAAAUCAGUGCCCAUAAGAACGCGUGUAUUUUAAUAUUUGACAGAUGUUGCUCGUCGCUUGUCGUCUUCUAUGUGUACAGCACAAUAGCUAAUAAAGCCCAAAACAGCAGUUCAUGUAAAGAGAAACACUUUAAGAAAUUUGUUUCUCAGUAUUUACAGAAUGAAGAUGUGCUUAUGAUUGGGAGUCUUGAUAUACUAGCAUUUCUAGAUGAAAUGCCAUCUAGCUCCAGCUCGUAAUCUUCAUUAAGCUCUGAGGAAUCGGAUAGGGAGGAAACCAAUAAAUAACAAAACUAUUGUCAUUGAAGGCUAUGACGAAAAUGAAUUCAAAUCGCACAUGAGAUUGCGGCGUUCGACCGUGGAAUAUUUAAUAGAGAAAUAUACAAAUAGCAUUGAGCCCAAAGCAAAUACUGGUGGAAGAGAAAUUGUACCACCUUGAAAAAAGUUGUUUAUUUAUAUUUGGUACAUGAGUAACACCGUCACUCUUCGGCAGCUUGGUAGUGUCUUCUUCAACUGCUUGGACUAAGUAGCAUUUUAGUAGCCCCUUGGUUUCUACCACAGUCCAUAUCUCACGUUUCCUGCAAUAAAUUUAAUUUUUAUUAAAGUUUUUUAAUCAAUAAAUUCAAUGCAAAAAU